AGGAUGAACGCUGGCGGUAUGCUUAACACAUGCAAGUCGAACGAUCUUUUCGGAGAUAGUGGCGGACGGGUGAGUAACGCGUAAGAAUCUGCCUUCAGGUUUGGGACAACCAUUGGAAACGGUGGCUAAUACCGAAUGUGCCGAGAGGUGAAAGGCUUGCUGCCUGAAGAAGAGCUUGCGUCUGAUUAGCUAGUUGGUGGGGUAAGAGCCUACCAAGGCGACGAUCAGUAGCUGGUCUGAGAGGAUGAUCAGCCACACUGGGACUGAGACACGGCCCAGACUCCUACGGGAGGCAGCAGUGGGGAAUUUUCCGCAAUGGGCGAAAGCCUGACGGAGCAAUACCGCGUGAGGGAGGAAGGCUCUUGGGUUGUAAACCUCUUUUCUCAGGGAAGAAAAAAAUGACGGUACCUGAGGAAUAAGCAUCGGCUAACUCCGUGCCAGCAGCCGCGGUAAUACGGAGGAUGCAAGCGUUAUCCGGAAUGAUUGGGCGUAAAGGGUCCGCAGGUGGUAGUGUAAGUCUGCUGUUAAAGAGUCACGCUCAACGUGAUAAAAGCAGUGGAAACUACACAACUAGAGUACGGUAGGGGCAGAAGGAAUUCCUGGUGUAGCGGUGAAAUGCGUAGAUAUCAGGAAGAACACCGGUGGCGAAAGCGUUCUGCUAGACCUGUACUGACACUGAGGGACGAAAGCUAGGGGAGCGAAUGGGAUUAGAUACCCCAGUAGUCCUAGCCGUAAACGAUGGAUACUAGGUGUGGCUUGUAUCGACCCGAGCCGUACCGUAGCUAACGCGUUAAGUAUCCCGCCUGGGGAGUACGCACGCAAGUGUGAAACUCAAAG
Molecule: ribosomal RNA, 837 nt
Filed under: uncultured bacterium
Lineage: Bacteria
Description: bacterial SSU rRNA
Rfam family: Bacterial small subunit ribosomal RNA
Source: RNAcentral